Molecule: ribosomal RNA, 447 nt
Filed under: bacterium Ellin625
Lineage: Bacteria; Pseudomonadati; Acidobacteriota; Terriglobia; Terriglobales; Acidobacteriaceae
Description: bacterial SSU rRNA
Rfam family: Bacterial small subunit ribosomal RNA
Source: RNAcentral
GAUGAACGCUAGCGGCAGGCUUAAUACAUGCAAGUCGUGGGGCAGCGCGGGUAGCAAUACCUGGCGGCGACCGGCAAACGGGUGCGGAACACGUACGCAACCUUCCUUUAAGCGGGGAAUAGCCCAGGGAAACUUGGAUUAAUACCCCAUAAGACAGUGGAGUGGCAUCACUCAGCUGUUAAAGCUCCGGCACUUAAAGAUGGGCGUGCGGCUGAUUAGGUAGUUGGCGGGGUAACGGCCCACCAAGCCGACGAUCAGUAACUGGUGUGAGAGCACGACCAGUCACACGGGCACUGAGACACGGGCCCGACUCCUACGGGAGGCAGCAGUAAGGAAUAUUGGUCAAUGGACGCAAGUCUGAACCAGCCAUGCCGCGUGGAGGAUGAAGGCCCUCUGGGUUGUAAACUUCUUUUAUUGGGGAAGAAACCUGACUUUUCUAAGGCAGUU